Molecule: non-coding RNA, 74 nt
Organism: Pelobates cultripes (western spadefoot toad)
Lineage: Eukaryota; Metazoa; Chordata; Amphibia; Anura; Pelobatidae
Source: the annotation of a GenBank genome assembly
AAGGAAUGAUGUGAUCAUAAACUUCAUUGGUCCGUGUUUCUGAAAUCCGUGAUCUCUGUGGAAGUUCUGACCUU